CUUUCUCCUCGGCCUUUGUGGCUAGAUCAAGUGUAGUAUCUGUUCUUAUCAGUUUAAAUCUGAUACGUCCUACCCGGGGACCAUAAUUUAAAUUGAUUUUUGGAAGGCAGGGAGAUGGAAUUUAGGGGCUUGCUCACGUCCACUCCACGCAUCGACUGGUAUUGCAGUACUUUGUCCUGGAAGAGUCCACUUGUU
This 195-nucleotide small nuclear RNA is filed under the name Neogobius melanostomus (round goby). Its description in RNAcentral is "U2 spliceosomal RNA (ENSNMLG00000021424.1)". It matches the Rfam family "U2 spliceosomal RNA". Rfam says of the family: U2 is a small nuclear RNA (snRNA) component of the spliceosome (involved in pre-mRNA splicing). Lineage: Eukaryota; Metazoa; Chordata; Actinopteri; Gobiiformes; Gobiidae. The record is from Rfam by way of RNAcentral.